This 468-nucleotide ribosomal RNA is filed under the name uncultured bacterium. RNAcentral's name for it is "partial 16S ribosomal RNA". It matches the Rfam family "Bacterial small subunit ribosomal RNA", at positions 28 to 507 of the family's 1533-position model. The record is from RNAcentral.
GACGAACGCCGGCGGCGUGCUUAACACAUGCAAGUCGAACGGAAAGGCCCCGCUUUUGUGGGGUGCUCGAGUGGCGAACGGGUGAGUAACACGUGAGUAACCUGCCCUUGACUUUGGGAUAACUUCAGGAAACUGGGGCUAAUACCGGAUAGGAGCUCCUGCUGCAUGGUGGGGGUUGGAAAGUUUCGGCGGUUGGGGAUGGACUCGCGGCUUAUCAGCUUGUUGGUGGGGUAGUGGCUUACCAAGGCUUUGACGGGUAGCCGGCCUGAGAGGGUGACCGGCCACAUUGGGACUGAGAUACGGCCCAGACUCCUACGGGAGGCAGCAGUGGGGAAUAUUGCACAAUGGGCGGAAGCCUGAUGCAGCAACGCCGCGUGCGGGAUGACGGCCUUCGGGUUGUAAACCGCUUUCGCCUGUGACGAAGCGUGAGUGACGGUAAUGGGUAAAGAAGCACCGGCUAACUACGUG